This 662-nucleotide long non-coding RNA is filed under the name Setaria viridis. RNAcentral's name for it is "long non-coding RNA (SVIR_LNC005151)". The record is from RNAcentral. Lineage: Eukaryota; Viridiplantae; Streptophyta; Magnoliopsida; Poales; Poaceae.
GGAAAGGAGCUAGCUGGCAGCUCCUGUAACAGCUAAGGCUAUAUGUACUCAUUGUCAGGUCAGCAUAAAAAAUCAACAUUGCUGGCAGCUCCUGUAACAGCUAUGCCACAUAAAAAAUAAAAAAUCAACAUUGCAAUUGUCAGGUCAGUAGACAAUUGCAAUUGUCAGGUCAGUAGACAAUUGCUCGAUGAUUGGAGCAUUGCAAAAAUAGAUUGUGCAACGUAAUGGUGGCUAGAGUAUAACCAAUCCAGGCUAUAUUCAGGAACUAUAACCAAUCCAAGCCAUAUUCAGGAACUAUAACCAAUCCAGGCUAUAUUUAGGAACUAUAACCAAUCCAGGCCAUAUUCAGGAACUAUCUCGCAGGGUACUAUACUGUCCACUCAAAGCAUACCACUAUCAAAGCAAACAAAGCAUAAGGAACCUAUCAGAGAAAACCAGAAAUGCUUACACAGACAGACAGACUACUGUUAGCAACUGUUCAUUUAUUUCACAAAGCAAGCAAGCAAGCAAGCAAAAGAGGAAACAAUAAUCCAUGGAUGCACUUCUGUUCAUUUAAUUAGUUAGCAACUGUUCAUUUAUUCCACCCCCAAGCAACAUCUGUUUAUAACAUGUGACAGCAACAUCUAAAAUCAUCUCUAAAAUCCAAUCCAAUCCACCGCGAC